This 814-nucleotide small RNA is filed under the name Pan troglodytes (chimpanzee). Its description in RNAcentral is "retained intron". The record is from RNAcentral. Lineage: Eukaryota; Metazoa; Chordata; Mammalia; Primates; Hominidae.
CGUGGCACCGUGGUGACAGGUACACUAGAGCGUGGCAUUUUAAAGAAGGGAGAUGAGUGUGAGCUCCUAGGACAUAGCAAGAACAUCCGCACUGUGGUGACAGGUUCGGGAAGCCAGUCUGGAGAGCAGGGGCUGGCUGAAGGGUGGCCUUACCCCGGCAGAUCCCUUGUGCCUUCCCUCUGUCUCACAUUCGCCUUCCUUCUCCCUGCUCCUUUUCCCCUUCCGUCCUAGGCAUUGAGAUGUUCCACAAGAGCCUGGAGAGGGCCGAAGCCGGAGAUAACCUCGGGGCCCUGGUCCGAGGCUUGAAGCGGGAGGACUUGCGGCGGGGCCUGGUCAUGGUCAAGCCGGGUUCCAUCAAGCCCCACCAGAAGGUGGAGGCCCAGGUUUACAUCCUCAGCAAGGAGGAAGGUGGCCGCCACAAGCCCUUUGUGUCCCACUUCAUGCCUGUCAUGUUCUCCCUGACUUGGGACAUGGCCUGUCGGAUUAUCCUGCCCCCAGAGAAGGAGCUUGCCAUGCCCGGGGAGGACCUGAAGUUCAACCUAAUCUUGCGGCAGCCAAUGAUCUUAGAGAAAGGCCAGCGUUUCACCCUGCGAGAUGGCAACCGGACUAUUGGCACCGGUCUAGUCACCAACACGCUGGCCAUGACUGAGGAGGAGAAGAACAUCAAAUGGGGUUGAGUGUGCAGACCUCUGCUCAGCUUCCCUUGCGUUGAAGGCCUGCCCUAGCCAGGGCUCCCUCCUGCUUCCAGUACCCUCUCAUGGCAUAGGCUGCAACCCAGCAGAGGGCAGCUAGAUGGACAUUUCCCCUGCUCGGA